Molecule: long non-coding RNA, 404 nt
Filed under: Pan troglodytes (chimpanzee)
Lineage: Eukaryota; Metazoa; Chordata; Mammalia; Primates; Hominidae
Description: long non-coding RNA NONPTRT016300
Source: RNAcentral
UAUGUUAUAUUUUCUUAGCUAAAAGUUAUCGUUGGCAAUUCUAAGAAAAUUAUUUAGAGCUAUUGAAUUUUCCUCUAAAUGUUGCUUUAGUUCUAUUCCAUAUAUAUGGAUAAUUACUAUUCCCAUUAUUGUUCUUUUAUAGAAGUUCUAUGAUACUAGUUUGUCUUUGUUAACCCAGUUGUUUAAAAGUGAACUUAAAUUUUUUCAUGAAUUAAUUUGUACUUUAUAAUUUUAGUUAUUGUAUUACAUAAUGUUGGUUGUAUUAUUUCUACAUUUUGGAGUUUAUUGAGUUUUUUAACUGACAUAACAGUUACUUUUUUGUAUAUAUGGAGAAAGCAACUAAAAAGAUAUAUUUUAUAUUUUUGGAGUACAAAUUUUGAGAAAUACAUGUGUAUAUAUACCUU